UUCAUGGUAAGUAACAGUCACACAGGCAAGGGGGCUGGUGGUGGUGAUGAGAUGGUUGAAGAUGUUUAUUUUCAAAGAAGAUGUUCUAUUUGUUUCCCCCGAUGGUUCACCCUGGGGUCCUGGCCCCUCUUCCCUGUGAUGAGAAUGUGUAAUAAGCAUGUGUACAUGGAAUAGGGAGAUGAAUUCUAUUUCCCUUCUUUUCUGGACACAGUGAGUCAACUAGGGAGUGGGCUGCUUCACAAACACUUUUGUGUCUAACCUCAUCUUUUACCUGGGUUGCCCUUGUGUUUCUUGCAGGGAUUUUGGACCAGGGGGAGGGUGUCCUGAUUAUUUUCGAUGAACCCCCAGUAGAUAAAACUUAUGAAGCUGCUCUGGAAACAAUUCAGAACAUGAGCAAAGUAGUGGAUUCCCUCUACAACAAAGCCAAGAAACUGACAUAGAGUUGGAUCUGUAGCGGUCCUUUGGAGAGUGUGUGUGGCGGGAGAGUGAAACCUUGGGGGAAAAUGCUAGGAGAUUCUUUUUUCUUUUUGUUCUACUUUUCGCUCGGAAAGUUUUUAAAUCCUCAUUUGGUGCAUCUGUAUUCCAGCCAAUAGGUGUGCCAGUUUUCAUGUAAUCUUUACUGGCCCAACUUGGGAGUGGGGAAAUUGCUUAAAAAAAAAGAAAAAGAAAA
RNAcentral lists this small RNA (670 nucleotides) under Pan troglodytes (chimpanzee). Its description in RNAcentral is "retained intron". Lineage: Eukaryota; Metazoa; Chordata; Mammalia; Primates; Hominidae. The record is from RNAcentral.